UUAGAGUUUGGAUCCUGGCUCAGAUUGAACGCUGGCGGCAGGCCUAACACAUGCAAGUCGAGCGGAAACGAAGAGGUGCUUGCACCUCUGGCGUCGAGCGGCGGACGGGUGAGUAAUGCUUGGGAAUAUGCCUUAUGGUGGGGGACAACAGUUGGAAACGACUGCUAAUACCGCAUGAUGUCUACGGACCAAAGUGGGGGACCUUCGGGCCUCACGCCAUAAGAUUAGCCCAAGUGGGAUUAGCUAGUUGGUGAGGUAAUGGCUCACCAAGGCGACGAUCCCUAGCUGGUUUGAGAGGAUGAUCAGCCACACUGGGACUGAGACACGGCCCAGACUCCUACGGGAGGCAGCAGUGGGGAAUAUUGCACAAUGGGCGCAAGCCUGAUGCAGCCAUGCCGCGUGUGUGAAGAAGGCCUUCGGGUUGUAAAGCACUUUCAGUAAGGAGGAAAGGUUAAGUGUUAAUAGCCA
This 468-nucleotide ribosomal RNA is filed under the name Pseudoalteromonas sp. EF1A-B164. Its description in RNAcentral is "bacterial SSU rRNA". It matches the Rfam family "Bacterial small subunit ribosomal RNA", at positions 1 to 469 of the family's 1533-position model. Lineage: Bacteria; Pseudomonadati; Pseudomonadota; Gammaproteobacteria; Alteromonadales; Pseudoalteromonadaceae. The record is from RNAcentral.